RNAcentral lists this ribosomal RNA (520 nucleotides) under uncultured Glomus. RNAcentral describes it as "SSU rRNA". It matches the Rfam family "Eukaryotic small subunit ribosomal RNA", at positions 569 to 1092 of the family's 1831-position model. The record is from RNAcentral. Lineage: Eukaryota; Fungi; Glomeromycota; Glomeromycetes; Glomerales; Glomeraceae.
AGCAGCCGCGGUAAUUCCAGCUCCAAUAGCGUAUAUUAAAGUUGCUGCAGUUAAAAAGCACGUAGUUGAAUUUCGGGACCAUCAUGUCGGUCGUGCCUCGGUACGUACUGGCAUUGUUGGUUUCUUCCUUCUGACGAACCAUGAUGUCAUUUAUUUGGUGUCGUGGGAAAUCAGGACUGUUACUUUGAAAAAAUUAGAGUGUUUAAAGCAGGCUCACGCUUGAAUACAUUAGCAUGGAAUAAUGAAAUAGGAUGUUUGAUUCUAUUUUGUUGGUUUUUAGGAUCGACGUAAUGAUUAAUAGGGAUAGUUGGGGGCAUUAGUAUUCAAUUGUCAGAGGUGAAAUUCUUGGAUUUAUUGAAGACUAACUACUGCAAAAGCAUUUGCCAAGGAUGUUUUCAUUAAUCAAGAACGAAAGUUAGGGAUCGAAGACGAUCAGAUACCGUCGUAGUCUUAACCAUAAACUAUGCCGACUAGGAAUCAGAUGAUGUUAAUUUUUUAAUGACUCAUUCGGCGCCUUACG